UGGGGAAUUUUGGACAAUGGGCGAAAGCCUGAUCCAGCAAUGCCGCGUGUGUGAAGAAGGCCUUCGGGUUGUAAAGCACUUUUGUCCGGAAAGAAAUCCUUGGCUCUAAUACAGUCGGGGGAUGACGGUACCGGAAGAAUAAGCACCGGCUAACUACGUGCCAGCAGCCGCGGUAAUACGUAGGGUGCAAGCGUUAAUCGGAAUUACUGGGCGUAAAGCGUGCGCAGGCGGUUUGCUAAGACCGAUGUGAAAUCCCCGGGCUCAACCUGGGAACUGCAUUGGUGACUGGCAGGCUAGAGUAUGGCAGAGGGGGGUAGAAUUCCACGUGUAGCAGUGAAAUGCGUAGAGAUGUGGAGGAAUACCGAUGGCGAAGGCAGCCCCCUGGGCCAAUACUGACGCUCAUGCACGAAAGCGUGGGGGAGCAAACAGGAUUAGAUACCCUGGUAGUCCACGCCCUAAACGAUGUCAACUAGUUGUUGGGGAUUCAUUUCCUUAGUAACGUAGCUAACGCGUGAAGUUGACCGCCUGGGGGAGUACGGUCGCAAGAUUAAAACUCAAAGGAAUUGACGGGGUCAUAGCUGUUUCCU
RNAcentral lists this ribosomal RNA (587 nucleotides) under uncultured bacterium. RNAcentral's name for it is "partial 16S ribosomal RNA". It matches the Rfam family "Bacterial small subunit ribosomal RNA", at positions 355 to 1375 of the family's 1533-position model. The record is from RNAcentral.